CCAGCCGACAACGGGUACGGGUUGUGAGAGCAAGAGCCCGGAGAUGGAUUCUGAGACAUGAAUCCAGGCCCUACGGGGCGCAGCAGGCGCGAAAACUUUACAAUGCAGGAAACUGUGAUAAGGAAACACCGAGUGCCCGCAUCUAAUGCGGGCUGUCCAUAUACUCAAAAAGUAUGUGCUAGCAAGGGCCGGGCAAUACCGGUGCCAGCCGCCGCGGUAAUACCGGUGGCCCGAGUGGUAGCCGCUUUUAUUUGGUCUAAAGGGUCCGUAGCCGGUCCGGUCAGUCCAUUGGUAAAUCCGCGCGCCCAACGCGCGGUCUUCAGUGGAUACUUCCGGACUUGGGACCGGGAGAGGUAAGAGGUACUAUAGGGGUAGGAGUGAAAUCUUGUAAUCCUUAUGGGACCACCUGUGGCGAAGGCGUCUUACCAGAACGGGUCCGACGGUGAGGGACGAAAGCUGGGGGCACGAACCGGAUUAGAUACCCGGGUAGUCCCAGCCGUAAACUAUGCCCGCUGGGUGUCAGGCAUGGCGUGACUGUGUCUGGUGCCGUAGAGAAGUCGUGAAGCGGGCCACCUGGGAAGUACGGCCGCAAGGCUGAAA
RNAcentral lists this ribosomal RNA (600 nucleotides) under uncultured archaeon. RNAcentral describes it as "bacterial SSU rRNA". It matches the Rfam family "Archaeal small subunit ribosomal RNA", at positions 253 to 854 of the family's 1478-position model. The record is from RNAcentral.